UACGUAGGCAGCAAACGUUGUUCGGAAUUACUGGGCGUAAAGAGUGUUUAGGCGGUUGGGCAAGUCUGGUGUGAAAUCUCCCGGCUUAACUGGGAGGGUGCGCUAGAAACUGCCUGGCUUGAGUGUCGGAGAGGAAGGCGGAAUUCCUGGAGUAGCGGUGAAAUGCGUAGAUAUCAGGAGGAACACCAGCGGUGUAGAAGGCCUUCUGGACGACAAUUGACGCUGAGACACGAAAGCGUGGGGAGCAAACAGG
RNAcentral lists this ribosomal RNA (253 nucleotides) under uncultured bacterium. RNAcentral's name for it is "partial 16S ribosomal RNA". It matches the Rfam family "Bacterial small subunit ribosomal RNA", at positions 524 to 776 of the family's 1533-position model. The record is from RNAcentral.